RNAcentral lists this ribosomal RNA (796 nucleotides) under uncultured Methanosarcinaceae archaeon. RNAcentral describes it as "bacterial SSU rRNA". It matches the Rfam family "Archaeal small subunit ribosomal RNA", at positions 85 to 879 of the family's 1478-position model. The record is from RNAcentral. Lineage: Archaea; Methanobacteriati; Methanobacteriota; Methanomicrobia; Methanosarcinales; Methanosarcinaceae.
ACGGCUCAGUAACACGUGGAUAACCUGCCCUUGGGACCGGCAUAACCCCGGGAAACUGGGGAUAAUUCCGGAUAACGCACAUAUGCUGGAAUGCUUUAUGCGUGAAAUGGAUUCGUCUGCCCAAGGAUGGGUCUGCGGCCUAUCAGGUAGUAGUGGGUGUAAUGGACCUACUAGCCUACAACGGGUACGGGUUGUGAGAGCAAGAGCCCGGAGAUGGAUUCUGAGACAUGAAUCCAGGCCCUACGGGGCGCAGCAGGCGCGAAAACUUUACAAUGCGGGAAACCGUGAUAAGGGGACACCGAGUGCCAGCAUCAUAUGCUGGCUGUCCAGGUGUGUAAAAUACACCUGUUAGCAAGGGCCGGGCAAGACCGGUGCCAGCCGCCGCGGUAACACCGGCGGCCCGAGUGGUGAUCGUGAUUAUUGGGUCUAAAGGGUCCGUAGCCGGUUUGGUCAGUCCUCCGGGAAAUCUGACGGCUCAACCGUUAGGCUUUCGGGGGAUACUGCCAGGCUUGGAACCGGGAGAGGUAAGAGGUACUACAGGGGUAGGAGUGAAAUCUUGUAAUCCCUGUGGGACCACCUGUGGCGAAGGCGUCUUACCAGAACGGGUUCGACGGUGAGGGACGAAAGCUGGGGGCACGAACCGGAUUAGAUACCCGGGUAGUCCCAGCCGUAAACGAUGCUCGCUAGGUGUCAGGCAUGGCGCGACCGUGUCUGGUGCCGCAGGGAAGCCGUGAAGCGAGCCACCUGGGAAGUACGGCCGCAAGGCUGAAACUUAAAGGAAUUGGCGGGGGAGCAC